AGAACGAACGCUGGCGGCAUGCCUAAUACAUGCAAGUCGAACGAAGGCUUCGGCCUUAGUGGCGCACGGGUGCGUAACGCGUGGGAAUCUGCCCCUUGGUUCGGAAUAACAGUUGGAAACGACUGCUAAUACCGGAUGAUGACGAAAGUCCAAAGAUUUAUCGCCAAGGGAUGAGCCCGCGUAGGAUUAGCUAGUUGGUGAGGUAAAGGCUCACCAAGGCGACGAUCCUUAGCUGGUCUGAGAGGAUGAUCAGCCACACUGGGACUGAGACACGGCCCAGACUCCUACGGGAGGCAGCAGUAGGGAAUAUUGGACAAUGGGCGAAAGCCUGAUCCAGCAAUGCCGCGUGAGUGAUGAAGGCCUUAAGGGUUGUAAAGCUCUUUUACCCGAGACGAUAAUGACAGUAUCGGAGAAUAAGCCCCGGCUAACUACCGUGCCAGCAGCCCGC
This 448-nucleotide ribosomal RNA is filed under the name uncultured soil bacterium. Its description in RNAcentral is "bacterial SSU rRNA". It matches the Rfam family "Bacterial small subunit ribosomal RNA", at positions 26 to 518 of the family's 1533-position model. The record is from RNAcentral.